RNAcentral lists this ribosomal RNA (342 nucleotides) under uncultured bacterium. Its description in RNAcentral is "bacterial SSU rRNA". It matches the Rfam family "Bacterial small subunit ribosomal RNA", at positions 29 to 377 of the family's 1533-position model. The record is from RNAcentral.
AUUGAACGCUGGCGGCAUGCCUUACACAUGCAAGUCGAGCGCGAAAGGGGGCAACCCGAGUAGAGCGGCGGACGGGUGAGUAACGCAUCGGAACGUGCCCAGUAGUGGGGGACAACCUCGAGAAAUCGAGGCUAAUACCGCAUACGACCCACGGGUGAAAGCGGGGACCGCAAGGCCUCGCGCUAUUGGAGCGGCCGAUGUCCGAUUAGCUAGUUGGCGGGGUAAGAGCCCACCAAGGCGACGAUCGGUAGCUGGUCUGAGAGGACGACCAGCCACACUGGGACUGAGACACGGCCCAGACUCCUACGGGAGGCAGCAGUGGGGAAUUUUGGACAAUGGGGG